Molecule: ribosomal RNA, 468 nt
Filed under: uncultured bacterium
Lineage: Bacteria
Description: partial 16S ribosomal RNA
Rfam family: Bacterial small subunit ribosomal RNA
Source: RNAcentral
GACGAACGCUGGCGGCGUGCUUAACACAUGCAAGUCGAACGGAAAGGCCCUGCUUUUGUGGGGUGCUCGAGUGGCGAACGGGUGAGUAACAUGUGAGUAACCUGCCCUUGACUUUGGGAUAACUUCAGGAAACUGGGGCUAAUACCGGAUAGGAGCUCCUGCUGCAUGGUGGGGGUUGGAAAGUUUCGGCGGUUGGGGAUGGACGCGCGGCUUAUCAGCUUGUUGGUGGGGUAGUGGCUUACCAAGGGUUUGACGGGUAGCCGGCCGGAGGGGGUGACCGGCCACAUUGGAACUGAGAUACGGCCCAGACUCCUACGGGAGGCAGCAGUGGGGAAUAUUGCACAAUGGGCGGAGGCCUGAUGCAGCAACGCCGCGUGCGGAAUGACGGCCUUCGGGUUGUAAACCGCUUUCGCCUGUGACGAAGCGUGAGUGACGGUAAUGGGUAAAGAAGCACCGGCUAACUACGUG